This 220-nucleotide ribosomal RNA is filed under the name uncultured eukaryote. Its description in RNAcentral is "partial 28S ribosomal RNA". The record is from RNAcentral.
GCAUAUCAAUAAGCGGAGGAAAAGGUGGAGAAGAAAGGAGAAGAGGAGGAAGAGAAGAGAGAAGACCGGCGAAGGGAGGAGAAGGUGGAGAAGAAAGGAGAAGAGGAGAAAGAGAAGAGAGAAGACCGGCGAAGGGAGGAGAAGGUGGAGAAGAAAGGAGAAGAGGAGAGAGAGACAGAAGGAGAGACUAUGAAUAUUACACCGUCUUGAAACACGGACC